Molecule: ribosomal RNA, 1056 nt
Filed under: Triticum aestivum (bread wheat)
Lineage: Eukaryota; Viridiplantae; Streptophyta; Magnoliopsida; Poales; Poaceae
Description: partial small subunit ribosomal RNA
Source: RNAcentral
AUGUCGGACGUGACGGCGGUGAUGGAUCUGGAGGCGGAGGAGCGGCAGCUGGCACUUCCGCCGGGGUUCCGGUUCCACCCCACCGACGAGGAGGUGGUCACCCACUACCUCACCCGCAAGGUCCUCCGCGAAUCCUUCUCCUGCCAAGUGAUCACCGACGUCGACCUCAACAAGAACGAGCCGUGGGAGCUCCCUGGCCUGGCGAAGAUGGGCGAGAAGGAGUGGUUCUUCUUCGUGCACAGGGGCCGGAAGUACCCGACGGGGACGCGCACCAACCGGGCGACGAAGAACGGCUACUGGAAGGCGACGGGGAAGGACAAAGAGAUCUUCCGCGGCAAGGGCCGGGACGCCGUCCUCGUCGGCAUGAAGAAGACGCUCGUCUUCUACACCGGCCGCGCCCCCAGCGGCGGGAAGACGCCGUGGGUGAUGCACGAGUACCGCCUCGAGGGCCAGCUGCCCCAUCGCCUUCCCCGCACCGCCAAGGAUGAUUGGGCUGUUUGCCGGGUGAUCAACAAAGACUUGGGGGCGAGGAAUGCUCCACGGAUGGAGGAUCCGCUCGCCUUCCUCGAUGACUUGCUCAACAAUGAUGACUUGCUUAACAACGCCGACCUGCUCGAUAACGCUGACCUGCCGAUGCUCAUGGACUCACCGUCUGGCGCCGACGAUUUCGCCGGCGCUUCGAGCUCCACCUCCAGCGCCGCCCUGCCGCUUGAGGCGGACACGGAGCAUUUGACUAUCAAGAUGGAGCCGCCGCAGCAGAUGCAGAGCCCAAACUCCUUCAUGCCGGCGACGGCCAACGGCAAUCUUGGCGGCGUCGGGUACUCACCCUACCAGGCUAUGGGCGAUCAGCAGGUCGCGAUCCGCAGGUACAGCAAGCCGAAGGCGGAGGUAGCGUCUUCGUCCGCGCUGCUGAGCCCUUCGCUGGGCUUGGACACGGCGGCGCUCGCCGGCGCGGACACCUCGUUCCUGAUGGCGUCGUCGCGGUCGUACUUCGAUCUGGAGGAGCUGUUCCGGGGCGAGCCUCUCAUGGACUACUCCAACAUGUGGAAGAUAUGA